CUACGGGUCGCUGCAGUGGGGAAUAUUGGACAAUGGGGGAAACCCUGAUCCAGCAAUGCCGCGUGUGUGAAGAAGGCCUGCGGGUUGUAAAGCACUUUCGGUUGGGAGGACUGCUUCUAGCACUAAUAUUGUUGGAAGUUGACGUUACCUUCAGAAGAAGCACCGGCUAACUCCGUGCCAGCAGCCGCGGUAAUACGGAGGGUGCAAGCGUAAAUCGGAAUUACUGGGCGUAAAGCGCGCGUAGGCGGCUAGAUCAGUCGGGUGUGAAAGCCCCGGGCUUAACCUGGGAACUGCAUCCGAUACUGUCUAGCUUGAGUACAGGAGAGGAGAGUGGAAUUCCACAUGUAGCGGUGAAAUGCGUAGAUAUGUGGAGGAACACCAAUGGCGAAGGCAGCUCUCUGGCCUGAUACUGACGCUGAGGUGCAAAAGCGUGGGGAGCAAACAGGAUUAGAUACCCGGGUAGUC
This 465-nucleotide ribosomal RNA is filed under the name uncultured bacterium. Its description in RNAcentral is "partial 16S ribosomal RNA". It matches the Rfam family "Bacterial small subunit ribosomal RNA", at positions 339 to 795 of the family's 1533-position model. The record is from RNAcentral.